RNAcentral lists this ribosomal RNA (403 nucleotides) under uncultured fungus. RNAcentral's name for it is "SSU rRNA". It matches the Rfam family "Eukaryotic small subunit ribosomal RNA", at positions 565 to 986 of the family's 1831-position model. Lineage: Eukaryota; Fungi. The record is from RNAcentral.
UUCCAGCAGCCGCGGUAAUUCCAGCUCUGAUAGUAUAUAUUAAAGUUGUUGCAGUUAAAAAGCUCGUAGUUGAAACUUGGGUGUGUAGGGGCGGUCUCUUUUAGAGUACUACCCUGAAACAUCUUUCUUUGGUGUAAACUCUUUAUUCACUUAAGGAGUGUAAACCAAACAUUUACUUUGAAAAAAUUAGAGUGUUCAAAGCAGGCCUUUGCUCGAAUAUAUUAGCAUGGAAUAAUAGAAUAGGACGUAUGGUUCUAUUUUGUUGGUUUCUAGGACCGUCGUAAUGAUUAAUAGGGACGGUCGGGGGCAUCAGUAUUCAGUUGUCAGAGGUGAAAUUCUUGGAUUUACUGAAGACUAACUACUGCGAAAGCAUUGCCAAGGACGUUCAUAUCAGACCGAAUGG